CCUACGGGGGGCUGCAGUGAGGAAUCUUCCACAAUGGGCGAAAGCCUGAUGGAGCAACGCCGCGUGCAGGAUGAAGGCCUUCGGGUCGUAAACUGCUUUUAUAAGUGAAGAAUAUGACGGUAACUUAUGAAUAAGCACCGGCUAACUACGUGCCAGCAGCCGCGGUCAUACGUAGGGUGCAAGCAUUAUCCGGAGUGACUGGGCGUAAAGAGUUGCGUAGGUGGUUUUAUAAGCGAAUAGUGAAAUCUGGUGGCUCAACCAUACAGACUAUUAUUCGAACUGUAAAACUCGAGAGUAGCAGAGGUAACUGGAAUUUCUAGUGUAGGAGUGAAAUCCGUAGAUAUUAGAAGGAACACCAAUGGCGUAGGCAGGUUACUGGGCUAUUUCUGACACUAAGGCACGAAAGCGUGGGGAGCGAACCGGCUUAGAUACCCCGGUAGUC
Molecule: ribosomal RNA, 442 nt
Filed under: uncultured bacterium
Lineage: Bacteria
Description: bacterial SSU rRNA
Rfam family: Bacterial small subunit ribosomal RNA
Source: RNAcentral